GGGUGAGUAACACGUGGAUAACCUACCUAUAAGACUGGGAUAACUUCGGGAAACCGGAGCUAAUACCGGAUAAUAUAUUGAACCGCAUGGUUCAAUAGUGAAAGACGGUUUUGCUGUCACUUAUAGAUGGAUCCGCGUCGCAUUAGCUAGUUGGUAAGGUAACGGCUUACCAAGGCAACGAUGCGUAGCCGACCUGAGAGGGUGAUCGGCCACACUGGAACUGAGACACGGUCCAG
Molecule: ribosomal RNA, 236 nt
Filed under: uncultured Staphylococcus sp.
Lineage: Bacteria; Bacillati; Bacillota; Bacilli; Caryophanales; Staphylococcaceae
Description: partial 16S ribosomal RNA
Rfam family: Bacterial small subunit ribosomal RNA
Source: RNAcentral